AUACCGAAGGCAUGUAGGCCUUCGCUAAUGUCAAUGAUGGGUUAAAUUAGAAAUUUGGGUAUUUUUGCCCCCAAUUUCAGAAUUCCCUCUAUCCCCUUCCCUCGUCUCCCCAAUUUCAGAAACUCCUCCCUCCCUUUCCCUCGUCUCCCCAAUUUCAGAAAUCUCUCUCUCCCCUUCCCUGGUCUGUUCAUUAUUGACUGGCGGUCAGUUGAUUCGACACUGUGGUUUGACGGUGUGAGUUUGGUGGUGUGGACGCUGAAGGAGGUUUGUUGCUGGGUGGCGCUCUUCCAUUUCCUACUCUCUGUUCGAUGCAGUUCGUUGGUUUGAAGCGUGGGGUUGUCGCCAAGGCAGUUUGAAGCGAUUGCUGUUGCGGACGUUGACGGUGGUUCGUUGGUGGCUGGUUUGCGGCUAGGGUUCGUCGUGUUUGGUCCUUGUGAGUGUUGAGACAAGGGUAGGGGUUGUUGGGGGUUGGCAUGUCGAGGGCGUUGAAUUGAAGUGGUGUUGGUUGAUGCAUAGUGCUCAAUUGCCACAACAAAAGGUUGAAGUAAUUAAGAAUAUAUCAGAGUAUGUGGCUCAACUGAGGAGGGUUGGAAAGGGUCACGGUGUGUGGCACUUUGAUGAAAGUCUGCUUCAUGAUGCUGCUUGAACUAGAUAGUCUUUAUAGUCUUUAUUAUUAGUUCUCAGUUUAUAUUUGCUCUUCCAUUGUCUUUGAGUUGUUUUCUUAUUUAGAAGUAGAACUUAAAUGUUUUUCCUCUGUGCUGAGGUGUAAGAACUUGUAGUGUUGUAGUGUUGUAUUGUUGUGGCAAUAAGUAUCUUAUGUAAAAGACUACAAACAUAUUAUGCAAUAUCAUUUGAUAUUUCGUUUUCAAUUGUCCUUCUCCAGUACAAAUAUUUGUAGUUAGUUUGAC
Vigna radiata var. radiata (mung bean) is the source of this 908-nucleotide long non-coding RNA. RefSeq lists it as uncharacterized. Lineage: Eukaryota; Viridiplantae; Streptophyta; Magnoliopsida; Fabales; Fabaceae. The transcript is spliced from 3 exons. The record is from RefSeq and is a predicted model, not a curated record.